AAGAAUGAAAUAGGUUGUACUUUCUUAAUUUUAUUUUCUUUGCCCCCUAGUAAAAAUGAAUCAUUUAGAAGUAAAUAGCACAACAAACAUGAAAUUAUGUCUCUCAGGAAUAUUAUUAUGGUUCUUUUAUUUGUGAUAUUGUUUUGGGUUAUUCGAUUUGAUUGGGGGAGAUUAACGCAAUUUUAAUAAUUCUGCCUAAUCUCCUUAAAUAUAAUGAGAUUAUAGUUCAUCAGUCUUUAAGUAAUUCUUUUGUGCAGCUCUCAUGAAGGUGCAACAGCAGGCUAAAAGGAUCUCUUCUGCAGCCUACUCUUUUGUUCGAUGACAGUAAUGGGUGAAAAAAUAGUGCUCUGUACUUCUGCCAAAUUGCUAGCUAGUUAAACUAAUGGGCUACAGAGAGUGAAAAGAUGACCUUGCAUCACACAGGAUGACCUGACUUUUUGUCACGGCUAUAUAGACCACCACACUCUCGUCUGAGACACAGCGGAUUGAUCACACGCUCAGCUCUUCAUUAUACACAUGCCGCAAAGCUCCAUCCACCAGUAAAUACAUAAUGAUGCUCUUUGUCUGGCAGGUAGACCAAAGCCUUGACUCUCAAUAAGCUGGUUAGAGAGCGGCCAGAGCACUGAAUCAUUCCAAUUUAGGGAUGUGGUACUUUUAAUCUUCCGAUAUCCUUUUUGCCUCUGGAGACUUUCUUGGGUGAACUGGAGCAACUGUUAUUAAUCUUCAGCGCUCAGGCAAUUUCUCUAAAAGCCCCUAUUUGUUUUUUAUUGCUCCAUUGAGAGAGGAGGGUGUAGCAGCAAGGAGGAAGACUGUAAACAAGGUAUGCAGGGAAAGCAAGUUAUGUCCCCGUCAGCAUUCGGCGUUGGUCUUUCACUCUCUCUCCCUCUCCCAGCUCCCCUCAGAGGAUUAAAAAAGAGGAAGAGGGGAGUUUUCAGAAAGCAAACUGGAGCGUCAGCAUGAAUUCAGCUGGACUGAGAAAUGAUUGUUCAAACAGCACUGCGCUAUCUCACUCGAGCGAAUGUGCGGCGAGGAGGGGAGCUGGUCUUUGUGAACUGUGGAAGCAGACCAAUGCGAAAGUGAUGCGUGAAAUAUGAAUAUAUAUGUGUUGUUGGUUUUGCCGGUCUCUUGAAGUCAGUGAAUUCAUGUGAACAUGUGUGUAGGUGGGUAUAAAUGUAUAUCUGUCAGGCUAGCGGUGUUGAUUGCCAUAUGGGUCAAGUCAAAAUCUUGAUUUCUUCCAGUGGCUUCAAGAACACACGUGUACCGUCUAAAUUGGCUUGAACAGUGAAGGUUCAUUUGUAUUUUCUGCCACUAAUGAUGCAUCAUGUAUAACCAGGUGGUUCAGCAGGUAUGGAAAGAAUGAGGGACGAAAAUUUGAGCAGCAGGAUCUAAAAGAGGCCACAAUACACACAAUGCUUUGUUCACCAUGCUUUGAGGAAUACGUCUCAUUUUUUUCUCCCUACAUCUUCACUGUGUCCACAUCAUCAUAGCAUCCCCCGUUUGAUUUACAGCUCAUUUUCUUGGCCACCUUCAUGCUUGGCGACCAUUGUCCACUGUGAGGGAAAACAGCAAUUAUGAUAUCAUUAGAGCAGAAACCGGUACCUACAAAGCAGAGGACUCAGAGGGGACUAGUAGAAAAAUCUCGGCAGGAAAAAAAGGAUGGCUGGGACUUUGCUGCAGAGUCAGUUGCCCCCCAAUUACCAUGAAACAAGACAAACAGUCAUUAGAGUAGGCCAUUAGGCUGCAGGGAGAGCGGACAGGGGCUUGUUCGUUUUAACAGUAUACGUCAGCUUGUGAAAGUCACACAGAAUGUACAUGGUGUCUGUGAUAAAUGUUAUCCAGUGUAAAAGCAAAUCAGGAUUGUUGAACGAGUGGUUGCUUACAAUAUUACACAUUUUCUGACUAUCAAUUCCGACUUAAAAAUGUAACCUAAUGUGAUUCUAAGAAACCCAUGGAAUUGAAUCAUGUCCCAAUGACAGCACCAUUGAGUCUAAUAGUCAUGCUUUGAUUUGCCCUCUGUGUCUCCGUUAAGUUAAGUAACCUUUUUGUUAUUCACUGUUUGUUUUUAUCUUGAGUUUGUUAUUUCCUGUUUUAUUUUGAAGUCACUUUCCUUUUGUCUCCCCACUUCCUGUUACCCUGUCGCCCAUCUGUCACUUUACAUUUUCUUGUGUUACCCUGUGAUUGUCUGCACCUGUUCCUAACCGUGUCACACCUGUGUCUAAUUAUCUCCGUCCUCCUGCCUAUAAAGUCUUUGUGCGUCCCUUACUUCUCUGUUUGGUUCUGUGACAGCUCUGCGUCGCUCUGUUCCCUUCAUAUCGACGUUCCUGAGUUGUUGUUUUUUUGGAUUACCUGAGUUACCUGCUGUUUGCGCUUAAAGUCUGUCCUGACGUGUGGCAGAUUUUGAAAACUGAUGAUGCGCAGGCUCCUCCAUGUCCCAGGUCAAUGUCACGUCAACCUGGAUGUGUGAACAGUGACACCAGUGAUCCCACUGGGGCUUAUGCAGAAGUGAGAAGGAGCAGGAGGCUGAAAGACUGCCUCUCCGGCGUUCCUGACAUCUUGGCUCCGUUAAUUGCAAUAUUUGCCUGCUGUAUUGGUAUUCAAGUUAGGCCCUGGGAACAGAUGGCGAUUAACUUUAAAUAUUAUUAACACCCCUCCCAGCAUCCUAAGAUCCUGGGUGGUGGUGAUGAGGACGAGCAGACGUGCAGGUGAAAUUACCACUAUUUUCAUUACAGCAUCAAAGGACGUAAUACAAAUUGGGAUGAUUUUCCCAACUGCCGACGUGCGUGCGUGUGUGCGCGCGUGUGAGUCAUCUGCGCAUCAUGUUUUCUGUAUGUGUUUAUACUGUAUCUUCUAUUUUAAUUUCCUGUUUUCCAAUAUUUUACAUUGAAAACAAAAUUAACCACAUACAUAUUGUUACAAAUAGGUAUUGUUUUCAAUCAUACUUGCAAGGAUUGGAAGAGACUGUGUUUUUUAAAACAUUUUAUUUGUUUAGUUUUAAAUUGAUGUGGUAAGGAAAAUAAAUA
Molecule: long non-coding RNA, 3020 nt
Organism: Scophthalmus maximus (turbot)
Lineage: Eukaryota; Metazoa; Chordata; Actinopteri; Pleuronectiformes; Scophthalmidae
Exons: 4
Source: RefSeq, a predicted model, not a curated record